Molecule: ribosomal RNA, 220 nt
Filed under: uncultured bacterium
Lineage: Bacteria
Description: partial 16S ribosomal RNA
Rfam family: Bacterial small subunit ribosomal RNA
Source: RNAcentral
ACGGUACUCAGUUCGGAUUGCAGGCUGCAACUCGCCUGUAUGAAGUCGGAAUUGCUAGUAAUCGCGGAUCAGCAUGCCGCGGUGAAUACGUUCCCGGGCCUUGUACACACCGCCCGUCACACCAUGAGAGCCGGGAACACCCGAAGUCCGUAGUCUAACCGCAAGGAGGACGCGGCCGAAGGUGGGUUUGGUAAUUGGGGUGAAGUCGUAACAAGGUAUC